Molecule: ribosomal RNA, 301 nt
Filed under: uncultured bacterium
Lineage: Bacteria
Description: partial 16S ribosomal RNA
Rfam family: Bacterial small subunit ribosomal RNA
Source: RNAcentral
CAGUCGCCGCGGUAAUACGAAGGGGGCUAGCGUUGCUCGGAAUCACUGGGCGUAAAGGGUGCGUAGGCGGGUUUCUAAGUCAGGGGUGAAAUCCUGGAGCUCAACUCCAGAACUGCCCUUGAUACUGGAAGUCUUGAGUAUGGGAGAGGUGAGUGGAACUGCGAGUGUAGAGGUGAAAUUCGUAGAUAUUCGCAAGAACACCAGUGGCGAAGGCGGCUCACUGGCCCAUAACUGACGCUGAGGCACGGAAGCGUGGGGAGCAAACAGGAUUAGAUACCCCCGUAGUCCCUGUCUCUUAUAC